RNAcentral lists this ribosomal RNA (465 nucleotides) under uncultured bacterium. RNAcentral describes it as "partial 16S ribosomal RNA". It matches the Rfam family "Bacterial small subunit ribosomal RNA", at positions 338 to 795 of the family's 1533-position model. The record is from RNAcentral.
CCUACGGGGGGCAGCAGUAGGGAAUUUUCCACAAUGGACGAAAGUCUGAUGGAGCAACGCCGCGUGAGUGAAGAAGGGUUUCGGCUCGUAAAGCUCUGUUGGUAGUGAAGAAAGAUAGAGGUAGUAACUGGCCUUUAUUUGACGGUAAUUACUUAGAAAGUCACGGCUAACUACGUGACAGCAGCUGCGGUAAUACGGAGGUGGCAAGCGUUGUCCGGAUUUAUUGGGCGUAAAGGGAGUGCAGGCGGUUCAAUAAGUCUGAUGUGAAAGUCUUCGGCUCAACCGGAGAAUUGCAUCAGAAACUGGUGAACUUGAGUUCAGAAGAGGAGAGCGGAACUCCAUGUGUAGCGGUGGAAUGCGUAGAUAUAUGGAAGAACACCAGUGGCGAAGGUGGCUCUCUGGUCUGCAACUGACGCUGAGGCUCGAAAGCAUGGGUAGCGAACAGGAUUAGAUACCCUGGUAGUC